RNAcentral lists this ribosomal RNA (446 nucleotides) under uncultured bacterium. RNAcentral describes it as "partial 16S ribosomal RNA". It matches the Rfam family "Bacterial small subunit ribosomal RNA", at positions 338 to 795 of the family's 1533-position model. The record is from RNAcentral.
CCUACGGGAGGCAGCAGUCGAGAAUCAUUCACAAUGGGGGAAACCCUGAUGGUGCGACGCCGCGUGGGGGAAUGAAGGUCUUCGGAUUGUAAACCCCUGUCAUGUGGGAGCAAAUUAAAAAGAUAGUACCACAAGAGGAAGAGACGGCUAACUCUGUGCCAGCAGCCGCGGUAAUACAGAGGUCUCAAGCGUGGUUCGGAAUCACUGGGCGUAAGGCGUGCGUAGGCGGUUUCGUAAGUCGUGUGUGAAAGGCGCGGGCUCAACCCGCGGACGGCACAUGAUACUGCGAGACUAGAGUAAUGGAGGGGGAACCGGAAUUCUCGGUGUAGGAGUGAAAUGCGUAGAUAUCGAGAGGAACACUCGUGGCGAAGGCGAGUUCCUGGACAUUAACUGACGCUGAGGCACGAAGGCCAGGGGAGCGAAAGGGAUUAGAUACCCGAGUAGUC